This is a non-coding RNA of Oleoguttula sp. CCFEE 5521, 84 nucleotides long. The record is from the annotation of a GenBank genome assembly. NCBI's taxonomy places the organism in Eukaryota, Fungi, Ascomycota, Dothideomycetes, Mycosphaerellales, Teratosphaeriaceae.
GCUCGCUUAGCUCAGUUGGUAGAGCGCGGCACUAGUAUAGGUAUCGUGAUGCCGAGGUCUACGGUUCAACUCCGUAAGCGAGCA